UGUGGCAUUCAUAUCGUAGUGGAUACACCUGUUCCCAUACCGAACACAGAAGUUAAGCACUAUGGAGCUGAUUGUAGCUAGAAAUAGUAAGAGUAAGUAGAUGUCACGC
RNAcentral lists this ribosomal RNA (109 nucleotides) under bacterium. The record is from RNAcentral.